GCCCCAAACAAUUCUAUUGCCAUGGGACACUUAACAAUUUGAGAUUCUUAAGAUUUAUAUUGUCAUCUUAGACUUUACUAGAAUGUCUUCUCGCAAAUAUUAUUUCAUGCAAAUGAAUCUAACAUGUCUAGUCAGGUGGGUGCAUUGCUGGUUUGAAAUAUUAAUAGUGUUCAAUUGCAAAUGAAUUAAUAUUGCAAAUUAAUUACCCCUUAGAAAGAUCAUUGGAAUCUUGUUGAAUUUUGUUCAGCAGGCUUUCUUCCCAUAGCAUCUCUAUAUGACUGAGAUAUUUGACUCCUCCAUAGGUGAUUUGAUCUGAAUAUUGGUGGGAUGGGCUUUCCCUUUGAGACAAAUGAUUACUCUUGAGUUUUGUGAGGUGAUGAGAACCUGAAAGUCAACAAAUCCUUCUGUUCCCUCAACUAUAAGUGUCAAUACACCAAUUAGGUGUGUUGGCCAUGCCGGGAAAUAAAAAUCACCUUUUUCUAUUUAGUUUUUUCUUAUUAAUCCCUCCACCAUGGCAGAAACUUCAGUAUGGUUAUCUAUUCACUCCAGCUGUAAAUUGAAUGUAUAACUCAAAUAACGGUUGGUGUCACAUGAUAUAACCUGCUGUAACUGGCCCCAAUUUCCGUUUGAGAUGUCAUCAAACCGAACAGAGGAUGGCUGAAGAUCCAAUAUGAUUCCUGAUCAGAUUUCUCAAAAUAUUGCUGCUGAGCAUUAUUGUUUCCUAUCAUGCGUAUAUCUUCAAAUGGCCUAAAUGAGAUUCAAUCUGGAUUUGCCAAUUGAAUCCAUCCAUCAGAUAAGUCUUUACGUUGGUGAUUUCAUUGAAUUUCUCAUUCUCUCAUUAAAGGGCUUAUGUUUCUUUACAAAUUUCUGGAAACAUGCCAUGUAAUGGGUGGUUACAUCCAUCCUAUAAUUAAAGAAUUUCUGAGUGUUGGAAGAAUAUAUAAUUGGAUAUAUGCUUUUAUAUUUGGCAAAUAUCGGUAAGAGGAAGUUGAGGUCUGUGUGUGGAAGGAAGAGAGGAUAGAUUGAAAAUUAGUUUCUGGAGUCUGUUAAUCUUGAUUGGAAGGUUUUUCUUAUUGAUCUCCAUGUUCUAUUCAAUUUUAUUGUUCACUUCUAUUCAUAUUUUUAUUUUUGCCCCGGGGUGGAUCAAAAUGAGUUACAGAACCUUAUUUUUAAUCCAGGGCUUCCUGAGUGCAACAGAGACCAGGUAGUUCUCAAUAAGUUGCUGCUGUUUUGCCACUGAUCCCUAGAAUUAUCCGCGACGUAUCUCUUUUGUACUGGGUCUAUCUCGAUCGGUUGAUACGGCUAGACGAUUACCCAACUGACAUCCCUACCUCUUCUGAUGCCUUAUUGAGUGCUACUGCCAUGCUUGUAGAUGGGACAAUGUAGCAUUGUAUGCUUAUCAUCCUCAAUUCAUUCUUGCUAGGUGAUGAGAGCUUACCCUGAAUUGACAAAUUAAAGUUACAUGUGGAAAUUCUUAUUUUUCUGAUCAAGAAACAUUCAACUACAAAAUUAAUGACGGCACUUAGAGCCAGCUAAGCUUUGACUGAUCAACAUGAAGUGGAUGAGCUAUUAACAAUUUUCAAACGUUUACUAUCUAGUGCAUGGAUGAAUAUACAUUUUAUUUGUAAAUGUGUGGCAUGUAGUUGAUACUACUUUUACCUGAUAAACGUGAAAAUUUGAAUUAUAUCCUUUUCAGUGGGGGAAAUUUGACUGCUUCUUGGGUCUAACAUGCUGAGCACUAUAUACUUGCUCCUGAAGUAUGAUUUGGUUACAAUAGAUUUGAAUUAUGUCAAGUGGUUGACAAUAGAUUUGAAUUUUUUGACAACUGGUAAAAAUGUGGUGAAAUAAUUAUAUUUCUGUCUAUCUUGGAAGAAUAGUAAACC
Long non-coding RNA from Cryptomeria japonica (Japanese cedar), 1883 nucleotides. RefSeq lists it as uncharacterized. The transcript has 3 exons. The record is from RefSeq and is a predicted model, not a curated record. NCBI's taxonomy places the organism in Eukaryota, Viridiplantae, Streptophyta, Pinopsida, Cupressales, Cupressaceae.